RNAcentral lists this ribosomal RNA (767 nucleotides) under bacterium enrichment culture clone aHCH4_H11. RNAcentral describes it as "bacterial SSU rRNA". It matches the Rfam family "Bacterial small subunit ribosomal RNA", at positions 45 to 802 of the family's 1533-position model. The record is from RNAcentral.
GGCUAACACAUGCAAGUCGAACGGCAGCACAGGAGAGCUUGCUCUCUGGGUGGCGAGUGGCGGACGGGUGAGGAAUACAUCGGAAUCUACCUUUUCGUGGGGGAUAACGUAGGGAAACUUACGCUAAUACCGCAUACGACCUACGGGUGAAAGUGGGGGACCGCAAGGCCUCACGCGAUUAGAUGAGCCGAUGUCCGAUUAGCUAGUUGGCGGGGUAAUGGCCCACCAAGGCGACGAUCGGUAGCUGGUCUGAGAGGAUGAUCAGCCACACUGGAACUGAGACACGGUCCAGACUCCUACGGGAGGCAGCAGUGGGGAAUAUUGGACAAUGGGCGCAAGCCUGAUCCAGCCAUACCGCGUGGGUGAAGAAGGCCUUCGGGUUGUAAAGCCCUUUUGUUGGGAAAGAAAUCCUGUCGAUUAAUACUCGGUGGGGAUGACGGUACCCAAAGAAUAAGCACCGGCUAACUUCGUGCCAGCAGCCGCGGUAAUACGAAGGGUGCAAGCGUUACUCGGAAUUACUGGGCGUAAAGCGUGCGUAGGUGGUGGUUUAAGUCUGCUGUGAAAGCCCUGGGCUCAACCUGGGAAUUGCAGUGGAUACUGGAUCACUAGAGUGUGGUAGAGGGAUGCGGAAUUUCUGGUGUAGCAGUGAAAUGCGUACAGAUCAGAAGGAACAUCCGUGGCGAAGGCGGCAUCCUGGGCCAACACUGACACUGAGGCACGAAAGCGCGGGGAGCAAACAGGAUUAGAUACCCUGGUAGUCCACGCCC